Molecule: non-coding RNA, 77 nt
Filed under: human gut metagenome
Description: S10-Clostridia ribosomal protein leader
Rfam family: S10-Clostridia ribosomal protein leader
Source: RNAcentral
UGAGAGCGAUGACGCGGAAGGUUGCGGCCCUGCCGGGAAUUUCCGCCGAGCGAAUGUCUGGUUCCAGAAACCGACGA